This 253-nucleotide ribosomal RNA is filed under the name uncultured bacterium. RNAcentral's name for it is "partial 16S ribosomal RNA". It matches the Rfam family "Bacterial small subunit ribosomal RNA", at positions 524 to 776 of the family's 1533-position model. The record is from RNAcentral.
UACGUAUGGUGCAAGCGUUAUCCGGAUUUACUGGGUGUAAAGGGAGCGUAGGCGGCGCGUUAAGUCUGAUGUGAAAACCCGAGGCUCAACCACGGGAGUGCAUUGGAAACUGGCGGGCUGGAGUGCCGGAGAGGUAAGCGGAAUUCUUAGUGUAGCGGUGAAAUGCGUAGAUAUUAGGAGGAACACCAGUGGCGAAGGCGGCUUACUGGACGGCAACUGACGCUGAGGCUCGAAAGCGUGGGGAGCAAACAGG